Molecule: ribosomal RNA, 247 nt
Filed under: uncultured bacterium
Lineage: Bacteria
Description: partial 16S ribosomal RNA
Rfam family: Bacterial small subunit ribosomal RNA
Source: RNAcentral
AGAUGGCGACCGGCGCACGGUGAGUAACACGUAUCCAACCUGCCGAUAACUCGGGGAUAGCCUUUCGAAAGAAAGAUUAAUACCCGAUGGUAUAAUCAGACCGCAUGGUCUUGUUAUUAAAGAAUUUCGGUUUAUCGAUGGGGAUGCGUUCCAUUAGGCAGUUGGUGAGGUAACGGCUCACCAAACCUUCGAUGGAUAGGGGUUCUGAGAGGAAGGUCCCCCACAUUGGAACUGAGACACGGUCCAA